GACGGUUUCGCCUGUCACUUUCAGAUGGACCCGCGGCGCAUUAGCUAGUUGGUGGGGUAAUGGCUCACCAAGGCGACGAUGCGUAGCCGACCUGAGAGGGUGAUCGGCCACACUGGGACUGAGACACGGCCCAGACUCCUACGGGAGGCAGCAGUAGGGAAUUUUCCGCAAUGGACGAAAGUCUGACGGAGCAACGCCGCGUGAGUGAUGAAGGUUUUCGGAUCGUAAAGCUCUGUUGUUAGGGAAGAACAAGUGCGAGAGUAACUGCUCGCGCCUUGACGGUACCUAACCAGAAAGCCACGGCUAACUACGUGCCAGCAGCCGCGGUAAUACGUAGGUGGCAAGCGUUGUCCGGAAUUAUUGGGCGUAAAGGGCUCGCAGGCGGUUUCUUAAGUCUGAUGUGAAAGCCCCCGGCUCAACCGGGGAGGGUCAUUGGAAACUGGGAAACUUGAGUGCAGAAGAGGAGAGUGGAAUUCCACGUGUAGCGGUGAAAUGCGUAGAGAUGUGGAGGAACACCAGUGGCGAAGGCGACUCUCUGGUCUGUAACUGACGCUGAGGAGCGAAAGCGUGGGGAGCGAACAGGAUUAGAUACCCUGGUAGUCCACGCCGUAAACGAUGAGUGCUAAGUGUUAGGGGGUUUCCGCCCCUUAGUGCU
Molecule: ribosomal RNA, 655 nt
Filed under: Bacillus pumilus
Lineage: Bacteria; Bacillati; Bacillota; Bacilli; Caryophanales; Bacillaceae
Description: bacterial SSU rRNA
Rfam family: Bacterial small subunit ribosomal RNA
Source: RNAcentral